Molecule: long non-coding RNA, 1296 nt
Organism: Dreissena polymorpha
Lineage: Eukaryota; Metazoa; Mollusca; Bivalvia; Myida; Dreissenidae
Exons: 4
Source: RefSeq, a predicted model, not a curated record
GUCCCUAGUCACACAUGUCAUUGUAUCUGUAAUCAUGUAUGAUUAGUGGGAACGGGCACACUAGAUAACAAACUUUGUUUGGAGUAAUACAAUUUCAAAAGACUAAUGCCUUUGCUUUAAUCGUCAAUUAUCUACCUUUGUGUGAUCUAAGGAUACAACUGUGAUUUCUCUGCAUAUGAGGAAACAACUGUAUAUAGCAAAAAAAUGAGCCUAGAAGAAACCAGUAAAGACAUUACUGAAAAGGUGUGUGUCAUCUGUAAAGAGCAAGAUGACCGUCCAGUUUCAAAACUUGGAGAAAAGGGAUGUCAAGGACUUUCAUUAGCUGCAAAAAACUAUACAGACCAGAUUAUCGAGUUUGUUCCGGGACAGUUUGUGCAUAUUGACUGCCGCAAGAAAUAUUGCCACCCAAACAAAACCAGUAGUAGAGGGAAAACCGCAUCAAACUUAAUGUCAAGUCCCAAAAUCAGGCAAUCAACAAAUGGAAAUACGUUUGACUUUGGAACAAAAUGCUUAUUUUGUGGUUCUGAUGCUAAAUUUUGCCAUGGAAAAAGAGGAAUUGACGUUAAUCCUGUUAUGACUCUAGAAUUUGAGUUGACUAUAAGGGAGUCGUGUAAAUCUAGGUGCGAUUAAUGGGGUGAUACUGUUCUUUGGCGACUUGAGUCCACAAAUGACCUUCCUGUUGUAGAAGCACGUUACCGCCAAGCUUAUUCUGCUGGUUUCAGAUAAGGUUACAAUGUACCAAAAUUGUAUAAGAAUGAAAAUGUCAAGCCUUAAAAGGGUCGGCCACUUGAUACUUGUUCUGAUGAAGCAUUUCUUCAGUUAAUGAAUUAUUUUGAAGAGCAUGAAUCUGAACAAAUGACAGUGAAUGAUCUUUGUGAGAAAAUGAACACAUUGUGUGGUAAAUCUUCUUAUAGUAACAUACAUAUGAAGAAGAAAAUUCUCGAACAUUUUGAUAAUAAUGUUGUUAUAACUGAGCUAAAUGGAAAACAAAAUGUUGUUACUUUUAACACUACUGCCCAUUCUAUAUUGUAUUUAUUUUACAAAAGAAGUAAUGCAAAUGAUAAGGAAUGUGAAAAGAGAGCUAUUAUUAAAACUGCAGGUAUACUUAUUUUUGAAUUAAAUAAAACACAUGGCAGAGAUUACAAAAGAACAGUAUCCAUCUUCAGCAGAUAUAAUGUCUAUUGAUUCAAAUUAUAAAUAUUUACCUGAAGGUCUUUGUUGUUUUUUGCAGCAGCUCAUUGACAGUACAAAUACAAAUAGAAAAAUUUCAUCUAUAGGUCAAGCUGUAAUUCAGGC